GAUAAUUGAUUAAUUUAUUUAUUAUUAAUUUAAAUUUUAUUAGGUAGGUGGUUUAAUAAAAGUAUUUUUUUUUUUUUAUAAAUUUAGAUAAAAUUAUUUUUAUUAUAAUUUAUUAGUAUAGAGAUAGAAUAUUGAAAUAUAAAUUAAAUUUUAAAAAGAAAAUUUAAAUUAUUGUACCUCGUGUAUCAGGGUUUAUUAAUUAAUAAUUAGUUAUAUAAUUUUCUCGAAUUUAAAAGAGCUAAGAAAUUAUAAAUUUUAUUGUUAAAUAAAUAUUUAAAAUAAUUUUUUAGUAAUGAAACGUUAUUCGUUUUUAAAUUUAUCUAGUUUUUUAAGAAAUGAAUUUAAUUCAGUUAUUUAUUUUUAUUAAUAUUAUUCAUAAUUAAUAUAAAAUAAGUAAUUAAUAUUUUAAGGGAUAAGCUUUAGAAUAAAUUAUUUAUAAAUAAUAAUAAUUUUUAAAAUUUAUAGAAUUGGAAGUGUUUAUUUUGAUAGUGUUUUAUAACAAGUUUUAUAUUAAAUAUAAUUUUUAUAUUAUUUUAAAUUUUUUAUUAAAAUUAUUAAUUUAAUAGUUAAAUUAAUGGAAUAAUGAUAGAAUUAGUAUAAAUUAAUGUUUGUAUAAUUUAAUUUUUAAAGGUUAAGUUAAGGAAUUCGGCAAAUUUUUUUUUCGCCUGUUUAUUAAAAACAUGUCUUUUUGAUAAUAAUUUAAAGUCUGACCUGCCCAAUGAUUUAUUUGAAUGGCCGCGAUAUUUUGAUCGUGCAAAGGUAGCAUAAUAAUUAGUUUUUUAAUUGAGAACUGGAAUGAAAGGUCGAACGAGAAAAUAACUGUCUCAAUUUAAGUUUAAAUUAGAAUUUUAUUUUUAAGUAAAAAAGCUUAAAUAAUUUUAAAAGACGAGAAGACCCUAUAGAGUUUGAUAUUUGUUGAUUAUUUUUUAAUUUUUAGAAUUUAAUUUUAAAAUUAAUUUAAAGUAUUUAAUUGGGGUGAUUGAAAAAUUUAAUGAACUUUUUUUAUAUUAUAUCAUUGAUUUAUGAUUGAAUGAUCCAUAUUUUAUGAUUAAAAGAUAAAAUUACCUUAGGGAUAACAGCGUAAUUUUUUUUGAGAGUUCUUAUCGAAAAAAUAGAUUGCGACCUCGAUGUUGGAUUAAAAUUAACUUAUGGUGUAGAAGCUAUAAAUGUUAGGUCUGUUCGACCUUUAAAAUUUUACAUGAUCUGAGUUUAAACCGGUGUAAGCCAGGUUGGUUUCUAUCUUUAAAUUAUUUAAAUAUUUUAGUACGAAAGGAUCAAAUAUUUAUAAUAAUUAUUUUAAUUGUGAAUAUUAUUAAAUUUUAUAAAUUACUUUGGCAGAAUAGUGUUUUAAAUUUAGAAUUU
This 1362-nucleotide ribosomal RNA is filed under the name Onthophagus rhinolophus. Its description in RNAcentral is "16S ribosomal RNA". The stretch from base 1072 to 1231 matches the Rfam family "Archaeal large subunit ribosomal RNA", at positions 2542 to 2701 of the family's 2987-position model. Lineage: Eukaryota; Metazoa; Arthropoda; Insecta; Coleoptera; Scarabaeidae. The record is from RNAcentral.